This 416-nucleotide ribosomal RNA is filed under the name Streptococcus cristatus. RNAcentral describes it as "bacterial SSU rRNA". It matches the Rfam family "Bacterial small subunit ribosomal RNA", at positions 73 to 474 of the family's 1533-position model. Lineage: Bacteria; Bacillati; Bacillota; Bacilli; Lactobacillales; Streptococcaceae. The record is from RNAcentral.
GAGGAGCUUGCUCUUCUUGGAUGAGUUGCGAACGGGUGAGUAACGCGUAGGUAACCUGCCUGGUAGCGGGGGAUAACUAUUGGAAACGAUAGCUAAUACCGCAUAAAAUUGAUUAUUGCAUGAUAGUCAAUUGAAAGGUGCAACUGCACCACUACCAGAUGGACCUGCGUUGUAUUAGCUAGUUGGUGGGGUAACGGCUCACCAAGGCGACGAUACAUAGCCGACCUGAGAGGGUGAUCGGCCACACUGGGACUGAGACACGGCCCAGACUCCUACGGGAGGCAGCAGUAGGGAAUCUUCGGCAAUGGACGGAAGUCUGACCGAGCAACGCCGCGUGAGUGAAGAAGGUUUUCGGAUCGUAAAGCUCUGUUGUAAGAGAAGAACGAGUGUGAGAGUGGAAAGUUCACACUGUGACG